AACAGCAACAUAUAAUGUCAUAUAAUUUCUUAUGGUAAAGUAACAAUUCAUUCACAAGGUAAAGUAUGAAUCGGAAACUUCAUUGAAAAGUAACAAACUAUGAUCUCGGUCAUUGAAGCAAUUGCAAUUUAUCAUAACAUCGGAAAGAGUCAAUUAGCUUUUCAACAAGUCCACGUACUCAACUAUCAUUUAGUCUUUCACAAUUGCUAAUACUUACGUGAUACUUAUGGGUUCGAAGCUUCAAUCCGACACACAGAAAGAUAGGGGCUUAUAGUUUCGCCUCCCAACCUUUUACCUCAAGGGUAAUGAUGGGUCUAUUAUGAUAACACCCUCUAGAGUCUUAUUCACACCAAACCCUUAUUCUGCUAACACCCCCGAACGAACAAAUAUAAUAAGAACCCACACCUCCUCCCACAACCACCCACCAGCCCCCACGAUCGACCACUCUCCCCAAUCUCCACGACCUGCCUCCACUGCCGCAUCUGCGCCAAGCCCCGCCGCCCACCACCACCUACCCGGCAACCGGCGACCAGGGGGACGGACCCAACCACCGCACCCCACCACCACCAUCUCCCUCGCGCCACCAGCCUCCCCUGCCCCGCCUUCCUAUCUCGAUCGCCGCCGCCGCGGCACAGGCCCCCCCGACCAGCCAACUACCUCCGGCGGCCAAGGCCGCCCAGCCAACUACCUCCGGCGGCCAAGGCCGCCCAGCAACAACCAGAUCCGGUGGGAUCCGACUCCACCUCCCCUAGUCUCCCCCUCCCCAACCGCCCAGUCACCGGCCAAGGCGCACCGAGGCACCGCCCUCCCUCCCGGCUAGCUGCGCUGCCGAGCCGCUUCUCGCGACGCCUCCCCUCCCCGCGCGCGAGGUCCUGCGCUCUGAACGGAGGCGUGGACACCCGCGGCGGCGCCGUGUAUCUCCCACGACAAGGCCCCCUCCCCACCCCCAAGGCAGCAAUCGGCUCCACGCCACUGACCCUCCCCUCUUCUCCUCUGCCUCGGUCACAUUGAGGGCUGACGGGUGCAUCUAGCUCCGCUGCUUGCCGGCGUCUACAACCCGUGCAGUGACAAGUUGAAAAACGGAAGGAGGAGCACCUCCUCAAGCCUCCGUUAAGAGCGCAGGACCUGCGGGACAGCCCUCCCUUUCCAAGCACGCGGCUGAGCCAGGUUGGUUGUUUAGAGGUUUUACAAGUUGUUUGAAGUUCAGUUCGGCCGCGACAGAGCUCCCCGUCGUGUAGUCCACUUCACACCCACCGGCGUGUUCUCCCUUCCUCCUCUGCGUGACCCAUCAUGCUGUCCACAUUGCCACGCUCCUGGGGUUUCAGGGCUGCACCGACGACAUAACGGCGAGCGGGAGAGAAGGAGCAUGUGCGCGUGCAGUGCGGUUCGCCUCGUCCGUCCAGUUCCCCAAUACAAGGCUGCAGUUUUCCUUUUCCCCGAUGAUGAAGACAGUCAGAUUUGUUGCAUCUUGUGCAUAUUGCAGGAUUUUGAAAAAAGCAAUGUGAAGGUUUCAUCAAGAUCUCGCGCAAUCCAUCUCACAGCCUAGCUCUGCAUCGACGCCUAGGCAAUUUCUGUUUCUGUGACUUGCGAUGUUGGUGGUAAUUUGAUGAAGCAUCAAGCCGGUAAUUUGAUGAAGCAUCAAGCCACGCAGGCGUCGAUGUUGGUGGACUUGCGAUGCAGAGCAGUUUCUGUGAUCGUUGUCGUGUAACCCAUUGCUGCUAGCCUGUGGUUCGUUGUAUGUGGGUGUGCGCUUCAGCCUCCGUGGGUGUGCGGGUGGGAGACCAAUUACUGCUGCUCAGUUUGUUGUGUAGAGAAGAAAACUGAAGUGCACUACAAUACAGUUUCUUUUUGUAAAAUGCAGACAUUACCUUUUGCUUU
This is a long non-coding RNA of Triticum aestivum (bread wheat), 1878 nucleotides long. RefSeq lists it as uncharacterized. The transcript is spliced from 2 exons. The record is from RefSeq and is a predicted model, not a curated record. NCBI's taxonomy places the organism in Eukaryota, Viridiplantae, Streptophyta, Magnoliopsida, Poales, Poaceae.